AGCAGCAGCCGCGGUAAUACGUAGGGUGCGAGCGUUAAUCGGAAUUACUGGGCGUAAAGCGUGCGCAGGCGGUCAUAUAAGACAGAUGUGAAAUCCCCGGGCUCAACCUAGGACCUGCAUUUGUGACUGUAUAGCUAGAGUACGGUAGAGGGGGAUGGAAUUCCGCGUGUAGCAGUGAAAUGCGUAGAUAUGCGGAGGAACACCGAUGGCGAAGGCAAUCCCCUGGACCUGUACUGACGCUCAUGCACGAAAGCGUGGGGAGCAAACAGGAUUAGAUACCCCGGUAGUCCCUGUCUCUUAUAC
RNAcentral lists this ribosomal RNA (303 nucleotides) under uncultured bacterium. RNAcentral describes it as "partial 16S ribosomal RNA". It matches the Rfam family "Bacterial small subunit ribosomal RNA", at positions 507 to 807 of the family's 1533-position model. The record is from RNAcentral.